GGAAAGAUAGGCGCAGAGAUGUGAUCCAUUUGUUCUUCUGCAUUGGCCUGGUUUGGAUCAACUGUCUUUUGGCUUCUCCCCUACUGGCAAUUCCCCCUGGCAUGAUAUAACCUGUAUUUAAGAGGUGGAACCUGCAUAUUAUUUUUCUUCUUCCAUUCCCUUCCCCUUUCCUUUUUGUGGCAUUAUUUGUUGUAUUUUAAACCAUCAUUUUCUUUUGGACUCCACCUGAGCCCAUUGACAGAAAGAUGGUAUCUAAAUAUAGCAACUAAGUAAAUUUUACAGGGUCUACCAAUAAAGUCUCCUGUGUCAAAUUGGAAGUUUUGGUGCAGAUACUGUGCUGUACUGAAGGUUGUUUUCUGUGCUCAGAUAAUAAGAAUUGUCAUCUUUCCUGAAACUCUCAUCAAUUUUCCUAGAAGGCUCCCAUUUUGAAGUAUAUGGUGGGAUUUCUAGGAGUGUGGGGAGAAUAUUUUAUUUUUGUUGUCUAUGGUAACCAAGUGGAGGUUUCCAGUCACUGUUGGAUCUGGAAAGGUUUGAGCAGCAGGUUUGUAACUCAUUUUGAGUCAUGUACUGUGCAGCUAACAUGCAAUCUCUAACUUGGCUGUAGGUAAUUGGUUUAUCAAGAGUAAUUACAAGCUGACACAGAAAUGUAUAUGUGCAGAAAUGUAUAUGUUGCAUACCUGUAGGAUUGCUAUGCAUUACAGUUCCAUGUGUGCAAAUUAACUGAAGGGACUAGUCAUUCCCUGUCAAGGCACGUACACAAAAUGGUUCGCACAUGUCUGACUAGCUCAUAUUCACAGGAUAUGCCUGUGUGUACACAUGUGCAUGUGUGGAGAGGUUUGGUUGAUUCUUUAUGCUGAUUCUGGUUAGCCAAAUUGUAAUUUUCUUUCUCCUCUCCCUCCACCCGCUAAAUUCAGUUUGCAUAUUUACUGGAGUGAAGCUCGCUUUGUUGUCGUGUGUCGCAAGAACUCCAUAAAAUAACACCAAUGGAGAAAAAUCAAUCUACUGGGUCUGGAAAAUGGAUUUUGUGCCUUAACUGGCAAACGUUAACAACUACUUUGUCGAGAACUAGAGAAGCUAAGCAUUUAUCAAAUCAAACUGCUAUAACUGUUGUGCUCCUCUGUCCUCAAAUAAAAGCUGCACUGCUUUGAUGGCUCAGACUGAAGUGCCUACAGGAAGCAGAAAGAAUCCUUGAAAUCAUGAGCCCAACAGUAUCCUGGGGGACUCCUUGAUGGACCAGAGUGUAAUUGGAAUCAUGUGAAGCAUACAUCGCAAAAUGUUUCCAAUUUCACAAACAAACUGAGCACCGCACAAAUACUCUACAGGAACCAAGAUCUUACCAGACUCUCCAAUCAGGGUAAAAAGUACUCCUGGUUCAGUGUUGCUUGAUGACACUACUUACUAAAGCUAGUGGUAGCCUCCUGCAGAAAGGGAUUGCAGAUAUUCAGUGCUCCAACCCUGCCUGAACCAAGCCUACAACUGUGAAUCCCAUUUAAUUAGAUUUUCCUCACCUCUCGUAAAGGCUUAGGGCAUGUUAUAAUCUGUAUAUUCUUAGAGCUUCAUGACCAAGCAGGGUUUUGAGCAACAACAUACCUUUCCAGCAUCUACAUCCCAUGUUUUAGACACCUAACCCUACAAGCUGUCACUGUGGUAUUUACAAUAUUCAUUUGUUCCUGCUUAUACCACACUCACUGAGCACAAUCUUUUAUUGUUUCUGUACAACCAUCUUCUGAAAUGACUGACCAUUAGGUCUAGUGAUUCCUGUGCAAAUUGGGCAUAUUAAAGUAUGCUUAACGGUUUCCCCUGCUGACAGUGCAUUAAUCACCAGACGGUUUUAUACUGAGUAAUGCAAAUGCAUUCAAUGUAGCUUAAAAAUAAAAGAUGAAGUUUGCACAAUGCAGCUCAUAAAUGCGGUGCAUAUAGUUUCGAAACUAUUGAAAAAUGCUAAACUGUUGUUUUUGUUUCAGUGCCUUCCUAAGGCUUUACAAGGGACUGAGGAAAACUUAGGGGGGGUUCAGACAAUUCUUUUUGCUGUUGUUGUUGUUUAGCUGUCUAGUCGUGUCUGACUCUUCGUGACCCCAUGGACCAGAGCAUGCCAGGCACUCCUGUCUUCCACUGCCUCCCACAGUUUGGUCAAACUCAGGCUGGUAGCUUCGAGAACACUGUCCAACCAUCUCGUCCUCUGUCGUCCCCUUCUCCUUGUGCCCUCCAUCUUUCCCAACAUCAGGGUCUUUCCCAAGGAGUCUUCUCUUCUCAUGUUUUGCUGGUUUCCCUUUAAUAUCAUUUGAUACCAUUGAGCUCUUCCCUACCACACCCUUAGGUGCUUUGGAGAAAAAAAUCCCUUAAGAGUUCUCAGUAACCUGGAACUUCGCCACCCCACAUUUCUGCCUCUUCCUGUAAUCAGCAUGAUGCCCAAACCCUUAGGAGGAUCUUGUGUUCUGCCUCUGGCCUUUUGCUCCAAGUCCAUUCCUGUCAUCAGGAUCUAUUAAUCUCUGGUUGGUGCAGUAGCAGCUGGUGUAGUGGUACAGGAGGGGAACUGCUGCUGUCCUGGGUUUCAAACACAACAUGCCAUUGCACUGGUGGUUACUGGAGGAGGAAGGCACAGGAACUUGGUGCAUUGUGGUAUGGUUGAGCCAAUCUUCCACUCUUGCAGUUAUGUGCCUGCACAGCUCAGAGUUCCCCAUACCACACCCUUCUUCCUCCGGUAAGUGCUAGUGGCACUCUGUGUUUGGAAGCUGGGAAAGCAACAGUAUUCCAGCUAUGCUGCCAAACCAACCACUUCUGGUUCAGUAAUCGUAGAGUUCCAGAUUUAAGGACCUUCCAUUGAUGUGUGUGGGAAUGUUCAGGGAGGCAGGAGACGAUAUAUUGUUUAAUUAUAUCCUUCCCAACUUGUGUUCUACAAUUUAGCAGAGUAACAUUCCCCUUUUUAAACUUUCACAGCGGAUAACGUCUUUGCCAGGCUUGCAUAAGCCUCUAAAAUAAGUUUCCUGGUAAAUCCCCUUUAUUCCCUCUUAAAUGAAUAGACACAACACUGCCUUAUAUAAAUCUAUAAAAUAGUUUACUCACAUACAUUCUGUUCACAGAUGGGUCCCAGAAGGCAGACUUAAGUUACAAGAUAUAUACACCUGGAAUCUAUCCCAUAAGGUGAUAGUUCCUUUGUCCUCUCUUGGCUGGAAGCCAAGAGAGCAUCUCAGGCUAAGGAGAUGUUGCUUCUACGAGGAAUUGAGUCCGAGAGAGAGAGAUGGCUGUCUCCCCUGUGCUAUUUUGUUACCUGCCCAGGUGGGGUGACACCCACCUCUGGUCACAUGUAGAGGAAGUUUGUCCCAGCCCAGGAGGAAACAGGAAGUUCCAACUGGCUGGUCCAGACACCCCCUUUUUAUGUCCACUCUAGGAAUGUUGUAUUUGACUGCUCUGUGUUUCACACCCCACAAUGUGCACUGCCCAGAUUGCCUAUCCCUGCUCACAGCUAUUAUCACCUCAUAAUUGCCAUUGGGACUAUCUGAUGGUGUUGGAGACAAAAUUCUGUGUUCAUUUUAGUGUAUUGCUUAGAAAUUCUUGGAACAGGAUGAUUUUUAGGGUCUCAUAAACCCCAGGACCUUCAGAAGCAAGACACUGAGACAAAUGAUCCCCUCUCCUUCAAAUCUCUUGCAAAAGCAACAUAUAUCUUGUAACCCAAAGUCAUUUAUUGUACUUAGUGACAAGAUUGAGAUGUGUAGGUAGCCGUAUUUCUGUAUUUGAAUUUCUGAUUACACAGUUAAAGCUUAAGGUUUGCUAAAUAAACAGAUGCAUUUUGCUGAUACGUGCCUUCUGAAAUUUAAAACGGUGACUAGAAUAUUUUUGCCUGUUAACCUUCUUUUAAAAAACCACGCAGGUUCAGGAGUUUCCGAAAGAGAGGCAGUAAUUGGUCCCCUAAUAUUAAACACCAGAGACGCUGAAAACACAAUUGCUCUUUUAAUGACGGCAUAUUGAGGUUGUACAGAAGUAAUUCAUCCCAGCUGGUAUGGGUUAAGCAACUUGCUAACCUUCACAUAUAUUUUAGUGGCCCAUGAGGGGGAAGUGGACAAAAUCGCUGCUUCACUCCUCCUUGAAGGAGUGGAGGCAGAGAUAUUUGAAUAGUGAAAGCAUGCCAUCCUUCCUGAGCCACAUACGUACUGGAUUAUUAUUAGUAUUAUUUUUUAAAAAGCUUGAUGUACGUAUCUGAUUUCUUGUUUUUAAACAUCCAUCCACCACUGGUUAUUCAAGUGCUAUCUUCCCCUCUUACCUUCGUUCCAUGUCUAAAAUGUGGAUGCAAAGGGCUGCUGCUGCAUGACAUCACAAUGGCCUGUGGUGUUGGCUCUGUGCUGCCAGCUGAUCCCAGGCAUUGUGCCCCAGCAGCAUUUGCAAGCGCUACUGCAUUGCAGAUUGUCAGAGGGGUAGCCGAGUUAGUCUGUUGCAGCAAAAAGAACAAAGUGCCUUGUGGCUACUUAGAAAAACGCCAACACAUAAUAGUUUGGCAUUUGCUUUCAUGGACUAGAGCCUACUUCAUCAGGUGCAUUGAGUGUGAUCUUUAGUUGUCAGGUAUGCAUGGGUAUAGUGAAAAAUGGAAAGGUUGGAGUGAAAUGAUAAUGGAGUAAAAAAGUAAGAUGCUGCAAGGUUCCCCAGUGCUUUUUAUCUCACACCUUUUUUAAAAAAUGUGCCUUUUGGCAGAGAGGGUCAAGAGAGGGCAGAGAGGAGGAGAAGCAGAACUUGACGUAGCAUGGUUUUAUGCCAUUCCUAUGCUAUUUGGUUACUGCAGUGUUAAUCAAGCGCUUGAGCAUAUGCCUUAGUCCUUUAGCAUCAUUCUACCUGUGAUUGUCCUGCAAGGUUGAGGCUGUAACAAGCACAACAAAGGAAGCAAAUCAUGGCAUGCACUGGCUGUCCUCAUUAAGAACAUAAGAAGAGCCUGCUGGAUCAAGCAAACAAGCUAUUAAGCAGAGGCAGAUUUGGGGGAGUGCAACGAGUUUGGUUGCGCUGGGCGUGGAGCGUGCAGCUAUUAUUUAGAAUGGAGUGCGAGAGGCAGCAAAUUUUGGCACCACACAGGAUGCUGCUGAAAUUUGAGAAGCCAGGGUCUGCCACUGUAUCAAGUUCAGCAUCCCACAAAUAGGACCUGAGCCCCAAAGCAUUUUCCCUGCCUGUGGUUUCCAGCAACUGAUAUUCAGAAGCAUCACUUACUCUGUCCAUGGAGGCAGAGCAUAGCCAUCAUGGCUAGCAGCCAUUGAUAGUGUUCUCACCCAUGGAUAAAUAAUGAAUUGAUAUUAAUGAAUGAAUUAAUAGGGCAUGUGGCUGGAAGGAACUAUUAUCUGUUUCAUUUGUAUACCUCUUUAUACUUUUUUGGACGCGGGUGGCGCUGUGGGUUAAACCACAGAGCCUAGGACUUGCCGAUCAGAAGGUUGGCGGUUCGAAUCCCAGCAGUGGGGUGAGCUCCCAUUGCUCGGUCCCUGCUCCUGCCAACCUAGCAGUUCGAAAGCACAUCAAAGUGCAAGUAGAUAAAUAGGUACCGCUCUGGCGGGAAGGUAAACGGCGUUUCCGUGCGCGGCUCUGGUUCACCAGAAGCGGCUUAGUCAUGCCGGCCCACAUGACCUGGAAGCUGUACGCUGGCUCCCUCGGCCAAUAAAGUGAAAUGAGCGUCGCAGCCCCAGAGUCUGCCAUGACUGGACCUAAUGGUCAGGGGCCCCUUUACCUUUACUUUAUACUUUUAAGAGAAAAAAACCUCAAAGCGAUUUACAACCCACAUUUAAACCUCAGAUAAAACAUUCCAAAAUGAAACAUUAC
This is a non-coding RNA of Podarcis lilfordi (Lilford's wall lizard), 5787 nucleotides long. NCBI's taxonomy places the organism in Eukaryota, Metazoa, Chordata, Lepidosauria, Squamata, Lacertidae. The record is from the annotation of a GenBank genome assembly.